CUCUCUAGAGGACGUGCUACACCACUUCCGCAACUAACUGGCUAAUCUUGUUAGUAGCAAUGCCAUUAGAAUAACAGAAACACUUCAAAGACUAUUUGAACCUGUAACUCUUUCGGAAGGAGCUUGACAUCGAUUGGUCCCCAUCUACUUUCAUUAUACGGAAGAGAGCGGCUUGGACGUUCUGCUAAAGUUCUCAUUCUGUGUUCUACUGAGGAAAGAAGCUCAAAUGGUUUUGGAACGACAUGAGGCUCAUCAAAAUUGCAUGCUUGUGACAUCUGAGCGGGUUCACACUCUCAAAAGACAUACUUUUUCCAGUGCAGAGCUCCAGCUGGGAAAAAAACAGAGCAUGCCUUGUAUGAUGCAAUCCAAAUAUCAUCAUAUCAGUGAGAUUAAAAUGAUAGUGACAGAGAUUAUCAACAAAACAUGAAAGGAUCUGCAUUUCUUUGCCAUUAGCAGGGAAAGAUAGUCGCCAAAAAUGCGAGGCCUUUAAGAAAGAGUUUCCUCCCAAUUAUAUGACUUUCAAAAGUUGUUUGUGAAAUUUUUAUAGAAAUACCACACGGUUUUGUUGGUGCUGUGCAGAAUCCUGUUUCCAGGAUAUUGUCUUCCUAGUAAUUUCCUCAUUUCAACCAGAGCGGUUUCACAAUGAGCUGUCAACACACAUAAGCAGAGGUGGAUGUGAAGGUCUAACAUGUCCAUAACAAACCCGGUGCAAAUGCCUCAUUCAACUUUUGACCCAGAGAACACUUACCUAACACUAACUGCAGCUGAUUAAAUGCUUUUUACCACCAUGACAAAGCAACUAAUUAGCUUAUAGAUGUUAUGUAUGAUGCAUUCUUAAAGGGAUAAU
Sinocyclocheilus grahami is the source of this 847-nucleotide long non-coding RNA. RefSeq lists it as uncharacterized. NCBI's taxonomy places the organism in Eukaryota, Metazoa, Chordata, Actinopteri, Cypriniformes, Cyprinidae. The transcript is spliced from 3 exons. The record is from RefSeq and is a predicted model, not a curated record.